AUUUCUUCUUGGCCUUGGCUAAGAUCAAGUGUAGCAUCUGUUCUUAUCAGUUUAAUAUCUGAUAUGUCCUCUAUCCAAGGACUAUAUAUGAAAUGGAUUUUUGGAGCAGGAAAAUGGAAUAAGAGCUUGUUCUGUCCUCUCCAUGCAUCAAUCUGGUAUUGCAGUACUUUCAGGAAUGGUGCAACCCCU
This 189-nucleotide small nuclear RNA is filed under the name Castor canadensis (American beaver). Its description in RNAcentral is "U2 spliceosomal RNA (ENSCCNG00000030662.1)". It matches the Rfam family "U2 spliceosomal RNA". Rfam says of the family: U2 is a small nuclear RNA (snRNA) component of the spliceosome (involved in pre-mRNA splicing). Complementary binding between U2 snRNA (in an area lying towards the 5' end but 3' to hairpin I) and the branchpoint sequence (BPS) of the intron results the bulging out of an unpaired adenosine, on the BPS, which initiates a nucleophilic attack at the intronic 5' splice site, thus starting the first of two transesterification reactions that mediate splicing. The record is from Rfam by way of RNAcentral. Lineage: Eukaryota; Metazoa; Chordata; Mammalia; Rodentia; Castoridae.